Argiope bruennichi is the source of this 402-nucleotide long non-coding RNA. RefSeq lists it as uncharacterized. The record is from RefSeq and is a predicted model, not a curated record. The transcript is spliced from 2 exons. NCBI's taxonomy places the organism in Eukaryota, Metazoa, Arthropoda, Arachnida, Araneae, Araneidae.
GAAACCACAACGCAGAAUCAUCUGGUUUGUUAUAUAAGCGAAAAAGACUUAAAAACAUCCCCUUGAGGUAUUGACUUACAACAGACCCUUAACAGCCCUUGGCUCCAAUUUAACCCGUGACCUGAGUUACUUGAACCUUGGUAGCCAGUUCCAGAUUACAGUGAUUUUCAAAUUGCAGGAAACGCCUCCGCAGAAGAAAAAAAUGUGCAAAAAAUAUGACUGAAGCUGGCAAACAAAGUUUUGGAGCUCGACCGAUUUUGAGAUGAAAUAACAGCUACGAUGUUACAGUUCUACGUCAACCUUUUAAAAACGCAUCUGCUGUCAAGGAAGCAUACGUAAUAAUAAAGCAGUACUGGUAAAAGCUUGUAAAAAAUGUAUGCGAUUAAAAGAUGAUGAUGAAAA